UCUGCUNUGAAAGGCUGGGGCUUAACCCUGGUUUUGCAGUGGGUACGGGCUAACUAGAGUGCAGUAGGGAAGACUGGAAUUCCUGGUGUAGCGGUGGAAUGCGCAGAUNUCAGGAGGAACACCGAUGGCGAAGGCAGGUCUCUGGGCUGUAACUGACGCUGAGAAGCGAAAGCAUGGGGAGCGAACAGGAUUAGAUACCCUGGUAGUCCAUGCCGUAAACGUUGGGCACUAGGUGUGGGGGNCAUUCCACGUUUUCCGCGCCGUAGCUAACGCAUUAAGUGCCCCGCCUGGGGAGUACGGCCGCAAGGCUAAAACUCAAAGAAAUUGACGGGGGCCCGCACAAGCGGCGGAGCAUGCGGAUUAAUUCGAUGCAACGCGAAGAACCUUACCAAGGCUUGACAUAUACUGGACUGCGUCAGAGAUGGCGUUUCCCUUCGGGGCUGGUAUACAGGUGGUGCAUGGUUGUCGUCAGCUCGUGUCGUGAGAUGUUGGGUUAAGUCCCGCAACGAGCGCAACCCUCGUUCUAUGUUGCCAGCACGUGAUGGUGGGGACUCAUAGGAGACUGCCGGGGUCAACUCGGAGGAAGGUGGGGAUGACGUCAAAUCAUCAUGCCCCUUAUGUCUUGGGCUUCACGCAUGCUACAAUGGCCGGUACAGAGGGUUGCGAUACUGUGAGGUGGAGCUAAUCCCUAAAAGCCGGUCUCAGUUCGGAUUGGGGUCUGCAACUCGACCCCAUGAAGUCGGAGUCGCUAGUAAUCGCAGAUCAGCAACGCUGCGGUGAAUACGUUCCCGGGCCUUGUACACACCGCCCGUCAAGUCACGAAAGUUGGUAACACCCGAAGCCGUGGCCUAACCCUAGUGGGGGGAGCCGUC
This 872-nucleotide ribosomal RNA is filed under the name uncultured bacterium. RNAcentral describes it as "bacterial SSU rRNA". It matches the Rfam family "Bacterial small subunit ribosomal RNA", at positions 588 to 1457 of the family's 1533-position model. The record is from RNAcentral.